Molecule: ribosomal RNA, 440 nt
Filed under: uncultured bacterium
Lineage: Bacteria
Description: partial 16S ribosomal RNA
Rfam family: Bacterial small subunit ribosomal RNA
Source: RNAcentral
CCUACGGGAGGCAGCAGUGGGGAAUAUUGCACAAUGGGGGAAACCCUGAUGCAGCGACGCCGCGUGAGUGAAGAAGUAUUUCGGUAUGUAAAGCUCUAUCUGCAGGGGAGAAAAUGACGGUACCUGAUUAAGAAGCCCCGGCUAACUACGUGCCAGCAGCCGCGGUAAUACGUAGGGGGCAGGCGUCAUCCGGAUUUACUGGGUGUAAAGGGGGCGUAGACGGCAGCACAAGUCUGGAGUGAAAUGCCGGGGCUUAACCCCGGAACUGCGUUGGAAACUGUGCAGCUAGAGUGCAGGAGAGGGAAGUGGAAUUCCUAGUGUAGCGGUGAAAUGCGUAGAUAUUAGGAGGAACACCAGUGGCGAAGGCGGCUUACUGGACUGUAACUGACGUUGAGGCUCGAAAGCGUGGGGAGCAAACAGGAUUAGAUACCCGGGUAGUC